This 561-nucleotide ribosomal RNA is filed under the name Triticum aestivum (bread wheat). Its description in RNAcentral is "partial small subunit ribosomal RNA". Lineage: Eukaryota; Viridiplantae; Streptophyta; Magnoliopsida; Poales; Poaceae. The record is from RNAcentral.
GGGAGCAAGCAGGGGAAACACAAACCAAAUCGGGUAGCCUGGGAUGUGAUAACAAAGCCAAAACAUCUAGGCGGCCUCGGUUUCAGGGAUUUGGAGAUUUUCAAUCUUGCCCUACUGUCGAAACAGGUGUGGAGGAUGCUUCAAAACCCCACAUCUUUGAGCGCCCGCAUCCUCAAGGGGGUCUACUUCCCUGAUGUUUCUCUGUUUGAAGCAAGUCUUGGUAAUCAUCCAUCACAAAUUUGGCGGGCUACCUUGGAUGGACGAGAUAUCAUGGUGCAGGUACUAGUGAGGAGAAUUGGAAACGGUGAAACCACGGACAUCUGGCAGGACAACUGGCUACCUCGCACACUUAUGAAGAGUCCGUUAACAUCUCUGGUUCAACAUCCACCUCACAAAGUGUCAGAACUCAUAAAUAGCGCCACUUGCUCUUGGAAUGAACAGUUGGUGCGGGCAACCUUCUUCCAAUCGAUGCAGAGACGAUUUUGUAGAUUCCUCUCUGCACUAGGCAGAUUGAGGACUUUUGGGCGUGGAGCAAGGACAGACGGGGCAUUUUUCGGUUAG